This 292-nucleotide ribosomal RNA is filed under the name uncultured bacterium. Its description in RNAcentral is "partial 16S ribosomal RNA". It matches the Rfam family "Bacterial small subunit ribosomal RNA", at positions 505 to 796 of the family's 1533-position model. The record is from RNAcentral.
GUGUCAGCCGCCGCGGUAAUACGAAGGGUGCAAGCGUUGUUCGGAUUUAUUGGGCGUAAAGCGUGCGCAGGCGGGUUCGCAAGUCAGGUGUGAAAUCUCGAGGCUUAACCUCGAAAUUGCGCCUGAAACUGCAAGUCUAGAAUGUCGGAGAGGGAAGGGGAAUAUCUCAUGUAGGGGUAAAAUCCGUAGAUAUGAGAUGGAACACCAGAGGCGAAGGCGCCUUCCUGGACGACUAUUGACGCUGAGGCACGAAAGCGUGGGGAGCAAACAGGAUUAGAUACCCUAGUAGUCC